CAGUAGCCGCGGGAAUACGAAGGGGGCUAGCGUUGCUCGGAAUUACUGGGCGUAAAGCGUGCGCAGGCGGCUAUGCAAGACAGAUGUGAAAUCCCCGGGCUCAACCUGGGAACUGCAUUUGUGACUGCAUGGCUAGAGUACGGUAGAGGGGGAUGGAAUUCCGCGUGUAGCAGUGAAAUGCGUAGAUAUGCGGAGGUACACCGAUGGCGAAGGCAAUCCCCUGGACCUGUACUGACGCUCAUGCACGAAAGCGUGGGGAGCAAACAGGAUUAGAUACCCCUGUAGUCCCUGUCUCUUAUAC
RNAcentral lists this ribosomal RNA (301 nucleotides) under uncultured bacterium. RNAcentral's name for it is "partial 16S ribosomal RNA". It matches the Rfam family "Bacterial small subunit ribosomal RNA", at positions 509 to 807 of the family's 1533-position model. The record is from RNAcentral.